RNAcentral lists this ribosomal RNA (254 nucleotides) under uncultured bacterium. RNAcentral's name for it is "partial 16S ribosomal RNA". It matches the Rfam family "Bacterial small subunit ribosomal RNA", at positions 524 to 777 of the family's 1533-position model. The record is from RNAcentral.
GACAGAGGGUGCAAACGUUGUUCGGAAUUACUGGGCGUAAAGGGCUCGUAGGCGGCCAACUAAGUCAGACGUGAAAUCCCUCAGCUUAACUGGGGAACUGCGUCCGAUACUGGAUGGCUUGAGUUCGGUAGGGGAGAUCGGAAUUCCUGGUGUAGCGGUGAAAUGCGCAGAUAUCGGGAGGAACACCAGUGGCGAAGGCGACUACCUGGCCUGUUCUUGACGCUGAGGCGCGAAAGCUAGGGGAGCAAACGGGG